AAAAGAGGAAAAGAGAGAGGGGUAAGCAUAAAGCUUAGUAAGUUGUAUGUAAAUAAUAAACAACAUAAAUAAAGAUAUUCAUAGAUUAAACAUAUUAUUUAUUAUCACCACAAUAUCAUACUUUACACAUGACUGUAGUCAAAAUUGACCUUAAGUGUCCUGAAACAUCAACUGUAUCUUACUCCUUUCUACACAUACUAAAUUUCUCAUUAUGAAUCGAGUUCAAAACUCAUGAGAUUUACG
This 243-nucleotide long non-coding RNA is filed under the name Gossypium barbadense (sea-island cotton). RNAcentral describes it as "long non-coding RNA (GBAR_LNC001523)". Lineage: Eukaryota; Viridiplantae; Streptophyta; Magnoliopsida; Malvales; Malvaceae. The record is from RNAcentral.